This 28-nucleotide non-coding RNA is filed under the name Rattus norvegicus (Norway rat). Lineage: Eukaryota; Metazoa; Chordata; Mammalia; Rodentia; Muridae. The record is from RNAcentral.
UGGCACAGGAUAAGCACUGUUGGUAGGC